RNAcentral lists this long non-coding RNA (719 nucleotides) under Numida meleagris (helmeted guineafowl). RNAcentral's name for it is "lncRNA (ENSNMEG00000005001.1)". The record is from RNAcentral. Lineage: Eukaryota; Metazoa; Chordata; Aves; Galliformes; Numididae.
GCUGGUUCUAGCGUUGGGCAGCUGACUUGGAGACAUCGCCCUCCUCGAGAGUCUAAAUAGCACAGCAGAAGAAAGCUGGAAGAAAUGCUUCUUCCUCAUGAUUUUUCCCUUGUUGAUACUUUCUGCAGGGUUCCUGUCCAAAAGGAGAUUUCUGAGAUCGAGGCAGUCUGAGGAGGAGUGAAGCCAACCCUUGCCAAGAGCAGGGGAAGUUCCUGUGUGGAGAGAGCCCUGGGAACUUGUGCUUCCUCUGGCACUUCAGCGGCCAUGUCUCAGCAAGGAGACGGCCGCGGUUCCUAUUCCUGUGCUGCGUGUGGAAAGAAGCAGCGCAGUGCGGUUCCCCGUGUUUGGGAGCAGCAGCCAGUAGGCUGCAAGAGAUGCAGCUGCGCCUUUCAGCGCACAAAGGGACACAGUGGGGAUGGAGCAUCCUUACCACCACGCAAAAGGAUGGAGCCUGCGCACCCACUGAACGGUGCUGGGCACUGGGGAAAACGAAAAGCCUCCGCAGAAGCUGAUGCCAGUGGCCUUCCUCUGAAGCGCAGCCAUGCGGAAAGGCAGGGGAGGAGCACGGAGCGUGACGCGGCACCCAAGAGAGGUACAGACACAGCACAGGCGUCUGGGUUUGAUGCAGUGUCUUUCCAGUCAGGCUUUCUCUAUGUUCUUUCCUGGGACUGUUCUCAUUGCGUGCUGCUUGGGGUCUUAAUCCCCGGGAUUUACCAUUU